This 42294-nucleotide long non-coding RNA is filed under the name Lactuca sativa (garden lettuce). RNAcentral's name for it is "long non-coding RNA (LSAT_LNC007269)". Lineage: Eukaryota; Viridiplantae; Streptophyta; Magnoliopsida; Asterales; Asteraceae. The record is from RNAcentral.
UAAUCCAUAAUUCUCUAUGUUCUUCUUUUCCUUGAUUUUCAAGGAAAAUGUAUGUAUUGAUAGAUUAGGAUAUGGGUUUGAUUAAUAGUACGGAAUUACCGGUGGUGGUGGGGAGGCGUAGGAUACCCCGAUCACUGGCGGAAGAGGGGUGUUGUCCGGUGGGGGUUGUGGGUGUGUGGGUUUAUGGGGUGGUGAGGGUGGUUGGGUUUGAUGUGGAGGUGGUGGUGGGGAAUGAUGGUGGGUGGUGGGUGGCGGUGGAGAUUGAGGUUGUUGUGUUGGUGAUGGUGGUGGGUGGUGCCAUUGUUGUGGUGGCGGUGGAGGUGGUGGUGUUGGUAGAAUGCAUCCAGAUGAUGGUGGUGGUGGCGGAGGAAGUGAAUGGGAUGAUGGAGGUGGAGGCGAGGUGCUGACGUGGCCGGGUGGAGAAUUGUCCGGUGAUGGAACUGGAAUAUGUUGGGGUGGAGGUGGUGAGGUUUGGCUUCCAUGAGGCGGCGAUUGGUGGCUACCGUGUGGUGGAGAUGGAGUGCUUCCCUGUGGUGGAGAUCCAUGGCUUCCAUGUGGCGGUGAUGGUACAGGUUGACCUGCUGGUGGAGAUCCGUGGCUUCCAUGUGGCGGUGAAUGGUGGCCUCCAUGUGGCGGUGAAUGGUGGCUUCCUUGUGGCGGAGAUCCUUGGCCUCCAUGUGGCGGUGAUGGUACAGGUUGACCUGCUGGUGGAGACCCGUGGCUUCCAUGUGGAGGCGAUCCGUGGCUUCCUUGUGGCGGAGAUCCUUGGCCUCCGUGUGGUGGUGAUGGUAUAGGUUGACCCGUUGGUGGCGAUUGAUGGCUACCAUGUGGCGGAGAAUGGUGGCUACCAUGUGGCGGCGAUUGGUGGCUUCCUUGAGGUGGAGAAGGUGUGCUUCCCUGUGGUGGAGAAGGUAUGCUUCCCUGAGGUGGGGAUCCCUGACUUCCAUGUGGCGGUGAUGGCACAGGUUGUCCAGUUGGUGGUGUGAUCUGGGACACUGGUGGUGGUGGUGGAUAAUGGAUUGAUGGAGUAGUUCCCUCUCUAGGCGGUGGUGGAGGGUGUAACUUUGUAUUUGGUGAACUCUCAGAAGUAGGCGGUGGUGGUGAUGGCUGAACAGAUGGCGGAUGUGGUGUAGGCAUGGUAGAAGGGGGUUGAGACGGUGUCGGAGUCGUUGGUGUCGUUGGAGUAGGAACUGACGUCGGAGUAGGAGCCGACGGUGACGUCGGAGUAGGAGCUGACGGUGUAUUGGGACCAGAAGGUGACGUCGGGGUAGGAGCUGACGGUGUAGUGGGAACAGAAGGUGACGUCGGAGAAGGAGUUGAAGGUGAAGUCGGAGUAGGAGAAGAUGACGGCGCCGGCGAUGAAACACCACCACAUUGUAGCUUCCUACAAUCAACAGGACGAGCAUCUCCAGAGGAACACUCCCUAACUGAUCGCUGGUUCGUCUUUCCAAUAAUACAAUUCUUCCCGUCAUCAAACACCUUACCACCACCACCUCCGGCAGCAGAGCACGACGGCGCUUCACCAGUGAAGUAGUUAAAAGAGUAAGUAAAGUUCUGCAAUCUCGGCAACCUACAAAUACUAUCCGGCACCACUCCAGUCAGCCGGUUAUGCGCCACAUUCAGCUGCUCCACACUUCUCAUUCCACCAAUCGCCGCCGGCAACGGCCCUUGAAGAUUGUUAAAGCUGACGUCAAAAACCGUCACCUGCUUCAACAUUCCGAUUUGCACCGGCAAACACCCCGUUAGAUUAUCAUUCAUGAGAAUAAUCUCGUUCAACGUUUUCCCCAUCUGACCAAUACUCGCCGGAAUACAACCACCGAGAUUAUUGUUCGCUAAAACAAGAACAGACACCGGCGAGUUACCCAAGUUCGGCGGAAUGCCGAACUGAAACCGGUUAUCAUUCAAAAAAACCGCAUCAAGAUCUUUAUCAAACAGCUUCGUAGGUACAGACCCCUCAAACUCGUUGAACCGGAGAUCCAAAUACUUCAACGCCGGCAAAGACAAGACCACCGUCGGGAAAACUCCGACGAAGCGGUUGUUACUUAAAUCGAGCUCGUGUAGUAAUGUAAGGUUCUUGAAAGUCGUCGGAACAGUGCCACAGAAGCGGUUUGAGUUGAUGUGGAAAAGUGCUAGGUCAGUGAGUAAGCCGAGCUCCGGUGGGAGAUAACCGGCGAUAUCAGCAUGGUUGAGGUCUAUGCCGGCGACGACACGGAUAGAGGGGUUGGGUAUGGAGGGGGCGCAGUAGACACCGCUGUAGGAACAGACGUUUGAGCCUUUCCAGUUGGUGGUGAAGUUGAAGGGGUCGGAAAAGAUGGCGGAUUUCCAUGCUUGGAGAGCAAUGUAGGCUUGCCGGAGCCUUGGGUUCUCGAAAACAAGCUUGUUUACGUCGUCGUUUUCGGCGGCGGAGCAGAUCUGGAGGGUGGUGGUGGAAAUGAGCAAGAGGAGGAGGAGGGAGCGUAAGCGCGGUGGAGGCAUGAUUUAGAGGAGAGAGAGUGAGAGAGAGAGAGAGAGAGAAAAUAAUGAAUAAAUGUUGAAACAAAGCAAUGUGCGAUUCCUGUUAUAUUUCCCCCCAAUGUCAGAAUUUAAAGCCUUUGGUUUUAUUAACAUGAAUAAUUGAUAUUUGAAUUAUUAUGGUACCUUUUUAAAUCUUAUUAUAAUAUUUAACUUGAAUAGGUAAAAACUACUACAAGUAUCUGUAAGAUGAUUUUUUUUAGUCUUUUGACCUUUUUAACCACAAAAAUGUCAUUAAAAUUGGAAAAUCUAUUCAAAAAAAGGCUUCUUCUUUUUUUACAUUCGUAAAGUUUUUACAAAGUUGUUAAUUAACAAACUAAACUAUCGUCAUAAUUAUUUUCAAAGAUUUGAUUCAACCAAUUAUAAAUUAAUUAAAAAAAAACAGAAAACUACUUUGUUGGGGAGUUUUUUUUUAUUUUUUUUUUUAUGGUUUUUUCAUAAAAAGAUUAUACCAAAAACCAUGCUUUUACUUGUUUAUAUUAAAUUAUAUAAAUUGUCCGGAAGUUUGGAGGAAACUGCAAGUGGUUUUUAAGCAUCAAUUUUUUGCAAGAGCGGUCCCUUUUAUUAAUACUGUUAGUUUCUAAAAAACGGGUAUUAAAUACUUAUAAAAAAACUAAAUUACCAUUAUUUUUUACUUUUUAUUUUUUUUAUUUUACUAUUUAUUUAUUAACAGCCGAAUCACAACAUCAUGUUCUUUGAACGGAACAAAAACAAAUAUAUGGUGCUUUUGGGAUUUGCUUUUAGAAACCAAUAUAUGAUUACGACUGGAAGGGAUGUUAUGUUGGUUGUAGAAAAGGGAAAGAUUAAUUAUAGAUAGAAUUACAUAUUUGGUCCUUGUGGUUUGUAUAUAAGACCACUGUAUGUCCUUUUGAGAAAUUUUGCAUAUAAAUUGUCAUAUUUUCAAUUUCAUGUUUCAAAUGAACACGGAAGGUCCCUUUAGCUAACGUGCUUACGGGGUUAACUUUUUUAAUUAAGUCCGAUAUGAAAUGAAACAUUUGUCUUUUCUAUCGCAUGGACCAUUUAUGUAACUUUUUCUUGCGACAAGUACUAUUUGUGUAAUUUUAUCUAUCAUUUAGACAAAUGCAAAAAUGGUCCCUGUGGUAUGCGUUUUUUCUGAUGUUUGAUCCAAACCUCGAAUUUUUUGAUCGAUGGUUCUUUUGACCAUGAUUGAUUGUGAUUUUGGUCAUUCGGAAAAUUGAAAAGACAAAUACUGCCGUUCUUAUAUACUUUCUAUAUUUCCUCGAUUUAAUUUAAAAGCAUUAUUAAUUAAAAUAAGGAGUCUCUCUCUCUCUCUCUCUCUCUCUCUCUUUCUCUCUCUCUCUCUCUCUAUCUCUCUGCGUGUAUACAAUCGUGUUUGUUUAAUAGAUCAGAUCCAUUCUAAUUUAGUUCCGAAAAAAUUGCAAAAAUGGUCAUUGUGGUAUGUAUUUUUCUGAGGUUUGGUACAAACCUCGACUUUUUUGAAUUGAUAGUCCUUUUAAGCUAUUUUGAUUGCGUAUUUAGUCCCUCCAAAUAUUGAAAUGACUAUAAUAUCCGUAGGGUAUUUAUUUUUCAUUUUUCUUUCAUUUUUUUGUAAAUCAAAUCCUUAUUUAUUUAUUUUAUUAAUCAUAAAAAGAGGUCUCUCUCUCUUACUAAAACCGUCCCCAAAAUGUGCAUCUUCCUCUUACUCAUACAAAAGAACAACCAUGGUUGUGCUCCACCUCUCUCUUUAAUCAACCCCUUAUACCUAAAUUACAUAAACGAAAUCCCCCUCCCUUUUUGAUUCCUCACAGAUUCAUUCACUCUCUAUGUUCUAAUCAAGAGUUCUUGAUAAACCCUAACUCUUAAUCGCACACCCCAAAACAAGACGAAGAGAAGAAAAUCUGAUAAUUGAUCGAGUUUUUAGAGUUCUUGACAGACCCAAUUCUUAUAUACACACGGACAAAGAAGAAACCAUGUAAAUUAUGAUUAAAUCUCGUUGAGUUGCAGGGGUGAUUGUUGACCCAAUUGUGGUGGUGAUAAUGGUGGUCGGAAAUUUGUUGGUGGCCAUCAGACUUUGGCCCACCUCCAUAUCUCUCUCUCUCUCUCACAUCCAAUUCUCUAUGUACCUUCAAAAAUCAUCUCCUCAAGAAAUCCAAGGUUUUAAACCCAAUGAAAUUAAAACCUAAUCCUUUUUGUUUUGUUUCUUGGUUUGAUUUCUGAAUAAAAAAACCUUAUUGGAUAAAUCGAGAAUAAUAUAUUAGAAAGGGAGAUAAAGACAGUGGUGGUGAACAUGAUAUUCAAAAAUAAAAGAUACAAUGGAGAUGAACCGAUGAAGAGCUGAUGAAAUUUCAAUUUACAAAUCUCGAUUUAUAGAUGUUAAAAUAUCGAGUUACCGGAAAAGCCCCACAUUCAAGAUCCAAACUUCUAUUCUUCUUCAGAGAUGAAACACAAACGCCCCACCUUCGAAUCUAGGGCUUCACUGGUUCCUUAUAUGCCAAAAAUGCUAGGGCCGUUAGUCGUCGAUUGAACCGACCAUUAUAGAACAUCGUCCAAUAACUUUGUCCAGGACAUUGAAACGCAUUUCAAUUAACACAAUUAUCAAAGUCAAAUCCCAAAGAUCACGAAUUGUGGAAAAAACACGGGUGUAUGCGUUGCGAUCGUCCCGAGCUCUUUCGUUUGAAAACUAGAGUAACAUAAACUGGAAACCAUAAGCACAAAGCUUAGUGAGUUCCCCAAAUACCACAUACCAUACAUAUCCAACAAUCCAUACGAGUCAUACAUAAUCGCGAGCCAUAAAUAUCAUUCAUAUAACAUAAUCAAUAAAGGUGUUAUGUGUCGCACAUAGUCUUGCCAUUAUGUCGCGAGCCACCUCGUGGUCUUUCUUGCCAAGUCGGGGGCCACAACCCUGGGUCUUAUAGAAAAGUGUCAGGAGCCACCUUCAGGUCUUCCAUGCAAGCAUCACAAAGACAACUAGCAUACAAUCUAAUUUUCUUAACUAAUUAGCAUACAAUGUGCCAGGAACCGCCUCCUGGUAUUUUAUAGCCUAGGGCUAACCCCUGGGUCUUUCUACAAUACUUAAACCAAAUGGGUCGGCAUUGGUGCCUUCGACCCCUACGAACAGUGAAGAUACUCACCUAAAAUGCUGAAGCUUAUUGCACAAAAUCUUAGUUGAUGACCUGACGACUUCCCAAACUAUUAAUACCCAAACAAUAACCAAUUAGAAACUAAAAUCCAAACCAUGUUCCAUAAUCCAAACUUGGGGUAAAAUAACCAUUCUACCCCUGGCCCAUCAAGACUCACAACCAAGGCCCAAGCCUAAAACCAACAAGGCCCAAAACUAUAAGAUCCAUAAAAGCCCACUAAUGGACCAAUUUUCCAAAUUGAGCCCGAUCCCAUAUGGGUCUUAUCCUAAGCCCAUAUUUUCCUUGAAUACAAUUCAGGGUACACAAACACCUCUUGGGACACACAUUGGUCGAAAGCAUAAGUCAAAAGUCAAAGUCAACGCUCCGACUCAACUCAUCGACUUAACCCAUAAUUCAUUGAGUUUCCAUUAAGCACAAAAUCGCGAUAUUUCGAUCCAACUCGCUGAGUUUCUCAUUAACUCGUCGAGUUCCUCUUUUUUCAACAAAAUCGGGACAAACCCAACCCAACUUGCUGAGUUCCCCUAUGAACCCAUCGAGUUCUUCAGUUAGCCAACCCACUUAAUGCAUUCAGCCACUAUUCUUCAAACCAAAGCCCAAUCUUCCAGAUCUAAACUGAAAAAGCGUCUAGAAGGAAAAGUUUAUGGCUUUACCCAUUAAGAACCAUCAUAAUGGGAUUAAAAUCAAACCUUAGCCUUAAGAAGCUUAUGCCUUAAUCUGAAAACCACCAAGUCUUCAAGAUAGAGCUCAUAAACACAGAUUUGGACCUUAAAGGCUAAAAGGUCCCGCAAAGUCUUCAACUUUACUCACAUGUAAGGCUAAAAGGAGCUUAAAAGGCCAUAACAAGGGCUUAAUGGAUGCAUGGAGCUCUUAGGGCCAUAAAGUUGGCACCUUUAUGCCAUAAAAGCUCCCUAGGACCCUAGAUCUGAAAGGGUUUGACCAAAAGGGACGUCCAACUCCCAAAACCUUAUAAUUUGGACCAAAACAAGCAAAAGAACCCCAAGAUGAAGAUCUAAGAAAUCACAAAUCAAGGUUGAAACUUUUUACCAGAAAAAUGGCGAAAAUGAAGAAAGGAUUCGGGAUCUAGCAGCUCCUUCUUAUAUCACCAAGCUUUCCUUUCUUCCAAUGACUUCAAACACACCUAAAACACUCCAAAAUGGUUCACAAUCACUCAAAGAUGCCUUACGGUUUUGAGGUUAGGGUUUAGGACAAUGGAAGCUGGAAAUGAGGCCAACUUAUAGGGUUUAAGUUGUUUAAAUAGGGUGCAAAAUCCCGAAAUUAGGGUUUCCCAAACCACAUCCAACUCGUCGAGUUGUUCCUUUCCAACUCGUUGAGUUGGUCUUCAAAAACACGCGUGACCAACACUUCCAGCACGUCGAUUUUAUGCCUUAAACUCAAUGAGUUGACCUUUAGAAAUGAGGUAUUUAUUUCCAUAACUGACCUUCUAGAUUUCGGAUGUUAUAUUCCAAACGAGGACAGACCGAAGAGGGCAUGAUCCAACUUCAGAACAUCCAAUUUCAAGCAUCGUUGAAUGGGAUGUGUCGUUGAUCAAAAAGAGGAAAUAAUAUGUAGUUAUUGAUAAACGUGUGGGAAUGAACAUCUACACCCAAAUUAAUUUCCAAAAAUUAAAACAUACACAAACACACACACAUACUCAAAUCAAUUUCCAAAAAGAAAACACAGACACGCAUUCUAAUAAAUUUCAUGUGUGAAACACACAAACACAUGCAUUUUCAGAUUUUGUUUUAGGGGAUGAAGACACACACAUGAAUUCAUAUGUGGUUCAAUUUUAGUGUUUCGAUUCUUGAGUUUCGGUUUAGAAAAACCCAACACCAUUGAGUUAUAAUUAUUGAACUAGUUUUUUUAGUGUGCGUUUUGCAAGUGUUUGUAUGUAUGAAGCCACUCGAUAGAGAGAGAGAGAGAGAGAGAGAGAGAGAUAGAGCGCGAGUGUUGUUGUAAGCUCCGAUAGUCAAUCCUACAUGCAACGCUUGAUUGUGUUUUUUCCCGUCCAAAUCGAUUUUGAUUAUAUGUUCAAUUGUUCAUAGAUGAACACGAUGAACACAAACAGACCUGUACAUUGAUUUUUUUGGUUUUGUUAGGGCUAGAAAAUGUUGAAUUUAGGGUUGGAAAGUAUUGAUUUUAGAGCUGGAAAACAUCGACAUGGCAAAUUUUUACAAACCUUAAUUUCUGAUCUUGAUCUUGCUUAUGUUUGAUGUGGAAUGGAUGUCAUAUUGAUUAAAGUUUUAUGGGAACUAAAAACAAAAGUACAAAAAUGGUCUCUGUGGUAUGCAUUUUUUCUGAGGUUUGGUCCAAACCUCGACUUUUUUGGAUUGGUGGUUAUUUUGAUUAUGUUUGAUUGUGAUUUUGGUCCCUUGGAAAACUGAAAAGACUAAAAUGCCCUUAUGAUACACUUUUUUUUAUUUUCUCUAUUUAAUUUAAAAUUUUAUUAAUUAAAAAUAUGGGGCUUCUCUCUCUCUCUCUCUCUCUCUCUCUCUCUCUCUCUCUAGCCAAGCACUCCCACGUUAUCUCUUAUCACUCACCUCUCACCAUCAUGUACCUGCUUCUCCGGUUUGCAAACUCGGUUUCUAGAAGAAAGGCAAAUCAAGAGCAUUUUUGCUUAUCUCAACAAUAACCAAAAAAGAUAUGGAAAAGUCAUUUUUUUUAAAGAUUUACAAAUUUUAGUUUUUUCUUGUAAAUUCAUGAGCAUACAGACACACGUGAAAAAUCCAUUGACUUUCUAGGUUCUACACACACACACUGAUACACGCAUAAUGAUUAUGUGCUUCAAGGUUUUUGUGACAUCCCUAAUUUCACGGUCAUUUUAAAAAAUUUAUUCAUGCUUAUUUAAAGAUCAAAGUAACCAUUUUAAAGGAUACUAUUGUGAAAUUUGUUCCCAGAAAACAUGAUAAAGAUAUUAUCAAAGCAUUUCUAAAGAAAUGUAUUUUAUUUAUAUUAAAACAUUGGAAUGUCGUCGUCAAUAUAGAAACGUAAGCAUAAAUAGACCUUACAUUCAUUUACACUAAUAAUUUACAUCUCCUUUAAUCUCUCAAUGUAACGUGUCGUCAUAUCGAUACUUGUGAUAUAAAUAAACUGAGUGGGUCAAGUUGGGAAACCUUGUGAGUACAUAGGGUUUUCAACCCACAUUAUUAUAAUUAUUAUGCUUAAUCAUCAAUCAAUUAACCCAACUUCCCAUCCCCAUUAUCUUCUUUAUUCUUCAGGAUCUACCCUAAGAAUCAUCUAUCAUUCAUUCCCAAGGAUUAUCCUAAGGAAUAUACAUGAAGCCCAUCGUUGCCAGAGUUUAUCUAAUAAGCACUAAGUCGAUAGCUGUCGAUGUUAUCUGUUAGACACUAAGUCCAUAGCUGCCAAUGUUCAUCUAUAGGGUACUAAAUCGAUAGCUGCCAACAUUCAUUUGUAACGCACUAAGUCCAUAGUUGCCAACAUUCAUUUGUAACGCACUAAGUCCAUAGUUGUUAGGGUUUUUAGAGUACAUAUGGUGAACAUGUCGUUCACAACACUUGCAGGUUGCGAGCCUGCUAGCAUUCCACUGGACUGUCUAUAAUAGUUCGUGGUUGUCAUCUAUACUCGGCUUGAUGACUGGGCCAUCGCUUGGGUCAAGUCUUCUCAUCAUCUAUAUCAUCUUUCAUCUCUCAUCAUUCAUGUCAUCUUUCAUCUCUCAUCUCAUCUUUCAUCUACCCAUAUUUAGCCAUCAUAAUUAUAGGUAUAAAAUAUGUAUACAAUUUAAAUCAAACAAAACAUGUAUAUUUUGUUCAUCCAAUAUAGAUAUCAAGAACACAAAUAAUAUGCACAUAUAGCAUGUAAUUUAUAUUAAAUACUUCAUAUCUAUGUGUAAUAUGAAAGUAAUUAUGCACUCAUGUGUUAAGGUGAUGAAUCUAAACUCGGACAACACGUCGCUUCUAACAAUUUUAUUUUCCUUCGACGAAACCUAGUAUCAUUAGCACUAGAUUUUAGUCUAAUAUUUAUUGCGACUAAUUAUUAGUCUAGAUUCACAAGCGAUAUUGUUUAAUAAGUGUUAAACAAUACUUUUCAACUACUAUGUAUAGACAGGGGCCAAACAUGAAACACCGAAGGGCAUGACCAUUUUGGCAUUUAAGCUGUUCUGAAAUCCAACAACCUUAUGCGACCCUUCGAACCAAAUUCCCUAUAUCGCGAGUAGUUAAAAGGUAUUAUAAUAACACUUUAUAUUUUAUCAUACUUAGCACAUAUAUUGCUUAUAAGUUCAUAAUAACGAUAAUGAACUUAUACAUCAGCUAUAGUUAAAGUAGGGUAAGCAUAACUUACUUAUAAGGGGGUUUGGCUAGGAACCAUACUCUACGGGGCUAGAACUUAUGAGCUGAAAGCUCUUUUUCUCGGUGCCUUAUGGCGCUCUGGGACUCGCUUGUAGCACUUGGGAAGUACUAAGGAAGGGGAGGGAGUGUUUGGGAGUUAUGAGAGAAAAAGAAGGGAUAAGGUGUGAAGAAAUGGGGUGCUCCUCGCAUCUAUUAUAGGGGAAACUUUGGACUACUCUGGGUGUAGCCUCAGAGCACACUGCAUGUACGAGGGGCUACGUUGCGCGUAUGAGGGGGCAACUGUCAGCUGUGCACGCGAGACUAUGGGGAGAAAGCAAAGGUUUGGAUGGUGCCAUGUGGAGAAAUCUGGGACCACAUAUGUGAGUACGCGCGACAUAAUGUCGGGUGCGCAGGGCGUACUCGUGCCACGUGUCACCCUCGUAUCCUCUUAUAAAUUAAUAAACUUCUAAAUUCCGUAACUUUCACAUACAAUCUCCGUUUUUGACGUUCUUUAUAUCCACGCACAGGUAUUGAUAGGAUCCACAACUUUCAUUUAGUCUCUAUCGGCUAAUUUUGACUUUGUUUUUAAAGUUAUAUUUUAACAGGCUUAGACAGAUAAAGUCUGUUAAAAUUUCAUAAUUUUAUCAUUCGACGUCUGUUUUCGUCUAUCUUUAUAUCGUUGAGUUCCUAUUAGUGAGAUCUUCAAUUCUGAUUUAGAUUGUGUCGGCUAGAAAUUGAUUGAUCUAAAAUUUGAAUUUCGGGUUGUGCACUGCUAUGCUAAAUCUUAGAAAAAUCAUAACUUCCUCAUACGAAGUUAGAUUUGGACGUUCUUUUUAUUCACAUUCUCGAUUUAACGUAUACUACUACUUUCCUUUAGAUCGCUAAGGCUAAAAAGUAAUGUAAGUCCCCAAAACUGAAACCAACUAGUGAUCAAACACAAAAACAAGUAGUAAUCAAUUAAGAAUAAGGAGUAGAAGCAAAGAAUGAUCCAACAAUGCACACGUCGAUUAGGCCGCAAACUUCAGGUACACUUGGAUACACACACACGACUACUGUUCAUCUGAAAAAUCUGACACUAUUUAAAGGGAGCAACCAAUCGCAAACACGUUCACGACCACACACACGUUCACGGCCGUGAACACCUAUACAGCCGCAAACACACAACCGUACACCCAUACAUUACAUGACCAAAACCCUAUCAAGACCUAUACAGAUUGAUGCCUUGCUUAAACGAACAAAAUAUGACCUAACAUUCUCCCCCUUGGUUUGAGGCAAGCAUGAAUUUAGUCUUUCUCGAUGACCAGCACAUCAGAUAUACCCAUUGCACCCAGCCACAUCUUUUUCUCGAUAAUAUCGGCAAUCAUGCUUGUGAAAUCCUUAACAUCAACCUCAAAAAUCUCUUCAUGGCAUGAAAUUUGAUGAUGAGCCAAAAUGUGGAUGUCCCUUUCACCAAAUUGUAGCAGAUCCCUUUUGUAAACAAUAUGAAAGACACCAUCUGGGAAUUUGAUAACAGCAGAAGCUGUGGCAACAUCGUAGACCUAGUAUUCCAUCUUGUGUAGUGAUCCAUCACAAAAUUUCUUCACAAUCGAAAUUUGUUUCAUCUGAUCUGUCGGGGGCCACAUGACAUUCGUGAAGUUCUUAUUGGUCUUUGGGUUAAACACAUCUUUAGCUCUCUUCAGGAAAGAUUAAGCGGUCUUCAUCCCAUCAGAUUGUCUCUUAACUUGGUUUUCCAAGAAGAUUUUGAAGUCUGUUCCACGAGGGUCAUUAGCAAGAUUGGAGAAUGGAGCUUUAGAGAGCUCCGUAAGAUCCACCUUCGUCAAAGAAGUUAAAUCAUUUUUGUUUUUGUAGUACUCCACAUUCCCGCUCUUGCGUUUGAUCAGCCAACAAUUUAAUUUAUCGUGAAAAUCCCACAUAUGAAUCCCUGACCGGUCAUCGUAUCUAUCUCUGAACCACAUUUUUCCGAGAUCCGUCAAAGUGUGUUGGGGCUGGUCUCCACGAGCAUUAUGAUCAGAAUUUUUCAUGAAGAGCCAUUUCCCCUUCUUCUUAAAAGAUGAUGAUUGUCGGGCUCGCUUAAGAGUAACUUUUGGAGGCACUUAAGCUGGUUCAGUUUCAAAUUGGUCAACGAUUGUUGUGGUUCUGAUUGGAGGAUUGUUAUCAAGCUUAUCAGAUUGUGAUGUAUUAGUUGGGGCAGAUUGUGAAGUCUCGGCUGCCUUUGGAUCUUCGACUAUGGUCUUGAACUUGUCACCAAAUUCUGAAAUAAGCUUGUUCUUCAAGUUGAAGUAUCCAGCAGUUAGGGCUCCAAGGUUGACUUGUAGAGUAGAGAUUUGUUUUGACUUUAAAGUAUUUUCUUCUUCCAGCUCAGAAACUCGGAUGUCGAUAUUUUCAAUCAAAACGUCCUUUUCCAUGCUUUCUUUGACAAUGUCAAUGAUGUUGCACAACCUGCAACGGAGACAGAGGGAGCCCGUAAUGUUCUCGAAGUGACGCCUCCAAUUUCCAGCGAGAUGGCCAAAAUGUGUAACUCUCCAAAACUGGAACCAACUAGUGAUCAAACACACAAACAAGCAGUAAUCAAUUAAGAAUAAGAAUGAGUAAAAGCAAAGAAUGAUCCAACAAUGCACACAUCUAUUAGGCCGCAAACGUCGGGUACACUUGGAUACACACACACACGACUACUGUUCAUCUGAAACAUCUGACACUAUUUAAAGGGAGCAACCAACCGCAAACAAGUUCACGGCCGCACAAACGUUCACAACCAUGAACACCUAUGCAACUGCAAACACACAACCGUACACCCAUACAUUACAUGAAUAAAACCCUCUAAAGACCUAUACAAAUUGAUGUCUAUCUCAAACCAACAAAAUAUGCCCUAACAAGUAAUUUAUCAAAAAUUCACCUUUUAUGUUACGCAGUGUCGUGUCGGUUUAGCUGUAAAACUUCGACGGGUCAUAACUUCUUCGUUAUAACUCGGAUUUCAGCGUUCUUUAUAUGUAUGAAAUCCUUGUGACAUAUACUAUAACUAGGUUAAGAUUAUUUAAUCUAAAUAAUUUUCUAUCAAAAAGUCACUUUUGAUGCUUAUUGUGUCUGAAUUGACUAGCCCGAAUCUGCGGGCGUUACAAUUAUCUCCCCCUUAGGAUGAUUACGUCCCGAAAUCAUCAACGAGACAGGGCUUGUAUAAUGUAUCCAUAUGUUAUAUUUUCAUCCUUGGUAAUAACCGUAACUCAUAUGUUCCUUCGAAUAAGUAUCUAACCCUUUGACUUCUUGACUGCAGGCGGUGCUCGAUCUUGCAACCGCUCUUUGUACCAUGUUGGACUUUCAAUCGUAACCUAUGAGUUACAAAAUAAGUCCUUUUUGGAGACUCCUACUCCUUAUUAAACAGACUUUACUUCGAUUAUUGUAACAAACUGAUGAGUCAUGUCCUAACGACCUCUUAGCGUAUGAUGCAAUGCUUAGAUUCAGGUCUUUUAGAGUCAAAUUCUAUGUUUCCUUCCUUCAUGUUCUAAUGUGAUAUAAUCACAUUCUAGCAUGUGGCACUUUUAGCUACAAGCUCUUUCUUUAACAAUAAUCGUGAUACUUCUAUUGAUCACUUCGAUUAUCUUUUACUUUAAUCGUCUGGCUUAACUCAGAUGCUACAUCGAUCUUGGUUCUCUGAACCACAUAACAUAUUCAUCUUAGUCGGACUCAAUUUGAUAUGAUCACUAGGGUUGGAAUAACAAUCAUCUUCUUAGCUAUUACUAAAACGAUGGUAAAGACAGACAUGAAUCAAACGAAAUCAAUUACUAGCGCUUUGUUAACCUUGUGACUUUCCCUGAUCCAAGUGUGAGUCCUAUGCUUCCAGUAGUAUAGGCCUCUACUACCUUUCACACCUACUCAUACUCGUCCGAAGUAUUGUCUCGUAGUUCUCCAAGUCACCAUACAAGUAUUUGACAUAGUCAUUUCACACAUCAAAUAGCAUAGCUAAGGUUUAUAUUAUUUCUUGAAAUGAUUACAUAGAUUGAAUGACCCAAAGAUCAAACAACUUAUCAAACAAUGACAGAAAAUAAGAACAAUAAAGAUUCACAAAGAAAACUUUUCACUAAGAAUGAUAAUCUCACAAAGAGAUUAUCGUAUGCACAAAGCGGCUAUUAGGGUUUGUGAAAACGUACGUCAACACAAACUGAUACAAAAGAUUAUAUACUACUAUUCUAGACAAUCCCUAUAAAUCAGGGAUAUGCCAGCUAACUAAUUUACGCUAACUAAGGAAACAAGAUAAAUACAAAAACUGUUACAACGUGCUGAAUAAAGAUAUAUACUGAUCAACUGAGAUGCUGAUGCUGAGUCAUGCGCUGACACUGAUAGACUAGUUUCAAACAUCAUCAUAUUUCAAGGUUUGACCUUACAAUCUCCCCCAAUAUGAUGAUGUUCAAAACCAACUAGAUUAGAACACCUCUGGACAAGAGUUCUUCAUACUUAGCUUCAGCUUCUACUUUUACUGGCCAGUAGGGACUGUCCAGCAGCUUCUGUCUUCUAUUCAGCAAUUCCAUAGCAAUUAGAAUAUGAAAUUCUCCAGAAAGAUCUUGAUGGCUCAUGCACAUUUUUCUUAAGCCAACGAGAUGAGUUGUUGGAGCCCUUGGAAUCUCAGCAGUUCGCUGAAAACACAUUUUUCUGUUUUUGUCGAGAUAGAACAUUCCGUGUUCAGGAACAGAGAUAAACUGAUGUUGAACUGGCUCAACACCAAUGGGAAGAGAGUUGUUUAAUUCAGCAGUACCAAAAUUCAGAACCAACACAUCUUCACCAUCAACCUAAAACCUGGUUCUUCUGUUUCUUGGAAUUGAAGAGCUUGAGCCUUGCUGCUGAGGAUGUUCUUGGGGAACUAGGUCUAAACGCUGAACUUUCUUAAUAAGCAAGUGGAGAGCACAAGUCAAUUCUGAUGAAAGAGCUAAAGUUUGCUUGGAUGCCAGCUUGAGCAAUUCCAUCCACUCAGAGAGAUCAUAUUUAAUCAGCUCGUCUCUCUUGACAACUUCAGUGUAUGGGUGUUGAGGACCUUGACGAGUGAUCAGUAAAGUGAGAACUUUCUCGUUACGAGGCUUUGAUGCUUUGAAUUUAAUGAUCUUAUCACCGCUCACUCUUCGUUUAUGAACAUCUUGAAAUCUCUUUCUAUCAAUCCCGUCGAGAACACUAUCAGUCUUAGACUUACUGCUGCUGGGAGGAGGCUGAGAAGAUUUAGAUUUGGACUGAUAUUCUAAGAAUUUCUGCAUCUGAGCUUCAAAGGAUCCUUUGGCCUGAAGUUUAUUCUGAAUGAGAGAUUCAUCAGCUUGAGCAAUAUUCUUCAGAAGCUGAGCUUUAUUGGCUUCAUCAAGAAUUUGCUUAACUUGAUCAGGAGACAUGUUCCAUUCAGCCGCCAAAUUGGAUAUGCUGACAAUAGACUUAGGUUUCUUGCUGGGAGGAGGAUUGUCAGCGUGUGAAUAAGAACAUACAGUAUCAGCUACUUUACGCUUUCAAGACAGAGGAAGAAGAUCCUCACUGACAACAUCGGAGUCUUCACCUUGAACUGGUACCGUGGGAUCAAUGAAAUUCAUGUCCAACAUUUGACACUCAUCAUCCUGUUCUUCUUCAUCAUCAGGCUCACUAUUUUCAGUAGAUUUUUCAGUUUCAGCUUCUAUUUGUUUCUCAGACUCGUGCACAGGCUGUGGUGGCUCGGUCUGUUUCAGCACGUUCCCCUCAGAUACAUUCUUAACAGAAUCAGUUUCUCUCCCUUUUUGAGCAUCAUCAUCAUUUGGGCCAGGAGUAGGAGUUGAUAGAAUAACUCCUUUCAGUUGUUGAACAUCAGCUUCAAUACGAAGGAGACGCUGACUCAUGUCUUGAGUCAGUGUAAGAAGCUCAUUAAAGGCUGAGGAUGGGAUUUGGAUGAACUGAGUACCUGGAAGCUUUUGUGAUUGAUGCUCCUCCCCCUGAGAAGGUUGCUCCCCCUGAGAUGGUUGUGCCCCCUGAGCAGAUGGCUCCCCAUGAGCAGAUGGUUCCCCAUGAACCGAGUGAAUUUUUUCAGUGACGGAGAUGGUAUGGUGAGAAAGCUGAGGAGAGAUUUGACCAUCUCUUGGACUAGGAUCAUCUGGAAUGUCAGCAGUAGUGUUGUUUAUAUCAUCAGCUCCUUCGUCAGUGUCAGCGUUCAAUGAUGGAACUGUAUAAGGAUGUGCGAUCCACUCUCGCAUCCGAUCAGAAAUGUCGAUGUCAUUGGCUAGAGGAUCAUCUUGGUACAUUCGAACUGACAUUCGUGGGAAUGGGAUGGGGUUUCCAGAGUGUGAGUAAUAGGCCUCAACGAAAAAUUUAUCCAGAACAAGAGCAAUCCAGCGAGGAAAUGGAACAUGAUCAGCUCUUAUAUUGGCACGAAGAAGUUGAACAAGCUGAUCAAAGAAGAAGGCCCCAUAAUCAAGACGUUUGUUGAGAAGAAGAGAACAUACCACUUGUUGCUCAAAGGUACUCAGUUGAUCACCACUACGAGAUUUGUGACCCACGCACUUGCAAAGUGCUCCGGUGAAGAAUUUCCAUCCUGGAGUCAUACACUGACGCAAAAUGAGAUUUGAUCGAGCACCAGCUUUGGAGUGAUUGUAUCCCAAUUGAUCGAAAAGGCGUCGACAACGUUCAAUGGAUGGGAUCUCAGAGAAAGGUUCAAAGAUUGGCAACCUGAGAGCAGCACUAAGAAGAUCAGCAGUGAUGAAUACUGAGUGACGGCCAUGCCCAACGGUGCCGGAGAUAGCGUUAUUGUCGUUAUUGACUGAUUCAGAGUAGUAGAACUCGCAUAUUUGUUCUGGAAAGAAUUCUGAUGGAACCUCACUGAUAGUGUAUCGAAGUCUGCAAGAAACUAGAAAGUUAACAAAAUCUUCGAGUCCAAGACCUCGAUGAACAUCUGGUAUAUCAGGGUUGAAAACGACAUUAGUGGCUUUGAUGUAUAUGGGAAGAGGAGGAGAGUUUGGAGCAGGGAUUACUCAUCGUGAAGUGGAUGAGAAGGUAAAUAGGGAUGCCGCCAUUGAAGAAGGUUUGGAUUCUAGGGUUUUGAAAAGAAACGAAAGAAAUUUGAAUAAUGGAAGGAAGGUUUGAAAGAGAAGGGAAAGAGGUUUAAAUAUGGGACAAAACGGGUUUUAAAAGGUAAUAUUAAUCUUCUUUAAAAAUAACUGCGUAUCAUAACAAACUGUCAAAUCAGAAAAAUAGCCGUUGGGUAAAAGAGCCGUUGAACUGAAGAUGAAACGACAAUAAGUGUCUGCGGAAGCGCUGAGAUCAAUGUUAUGAAAGUUUCAUGCUGAAAGAUGGUUUACCGUCAAUUCAAGGUACAACUUGCUUGUUUAAGGUUAGCAAGGUGGUUGGUGCGUAUGAUAGAUACUAGUUUAAUUAUCUAACCAUCGACACAGAGUGUUGUGUCUUUAUCAGUGAGUGGUUCGUCUUACUGAAUCAUUAGACACUGAGUGAGAAGAAGGUGAAAAGAGGAUUGUUGCGUGUGAUAGACCUUGGUGUUUUGGUCUAACCAUCGGCAAAGACUGUUAGACUCUCAUCAGCGUGUGUUUUGUCACACUGAAUCACAGAAUCAGUGUAAGAUUGGUAAGAAAAGAUAGUUGCGUGUGAUAGACCUUGGUGCUUUAGUCUAACCAUCGGCAAAGAGUUUCAAGUUGUUAUCAGUGUAUGGUUUAAUACAGUGAAUCAUUCAACUUUAGAUUAGAAGAUUUGUAGAAGAGAUAGAGAUAAGAGAUCAAACCAAGUACUCAACAUGAAAAUAUCAUCAGUAUAUCAUCAUCGGCAAAAUGUACAUCAGCUUAUAAGACAGUAGCAAACAUUAGCAAAACUAAUUACAAAGUAAUCAUUCCAAGUUCUCCUAUAAUGUGAGCAGUUGUUUGAGUGUCCAGGGCCUUGGUGAAAAUAUCAGCUAGUUGAUCUGAAGUCUUGACAUGUUCAAGAACAACCUUGCCCUUCUCAACGUUAUCCCUGAUGAAGUGAUGUCUGAUCUCGAUAUGCUUUGUUUUUUAGUGCGGAACAGGGUUUUGUGUGAUUUGAAUGGCACUGGUGUUAUCACAGUAUAUGGGAGUCUUAGUGAAUUUGAGCCUAUAGUCUAGAAGCUGAUUCUGAAUCCAUAAGAGUUGAGCACAACAUCUUCCAGCUGCAACAUACUCAGCUUCUGCAGUCGAGAUAGCUACUGAUGUUUGCUUCUUGCUACACCAGCUGGUAAGACGAUUUCCAAGGAAAUGACAUCCACCUGAUGUACUCUUCUUGUCUAAGUUGCAUCCUGCAUAGUCUGAAUCAGUGUGUCCAAAAAGUUCAAAUGCUGAGUCACGAGGAUACCAUGGUGCCAAGUUCUGAGUGCCCUUCAAGUAUCGAAAAAUGCGCUUGACUGCCAUAAGAUGAGACUCCUUGGGAUUAGCUUGGAAUCGAGCACAAAGAAUAGUUCCAAACAUGAUAUUAGGACGACUUGCAGUGAGAUACAGAAGAGAUCCAAUCAUUCCUCAAUAAAGAGAGUGAUUGACAUCAGUACCAGUGGGGUCAGCGUGUAGCUUAUCAGUCUUGGACACUGGAGUGGAGGCCGGUUUGCAGUUACUGAGAGAGUACUUAACAAGGAGGUCAGUAAUAUAUUUACUUUGACAAAUUGAAAUACCUGAUUUUUGUUGCUGAACUUCAAGACUUAAGAAAAAGGUCAUCUUCCCCAUUAUGCUCAUUUCGAACCUUUGAGACAUGAUCUCAGCGAAUUCCUUGCUCAGUUUCUCACUUGGAGAGCCAAAGAUGAUAUCAUCUACAUAGAUUUGAACAAGUAUCAUGUCCGAGCCUUUGUUUUUGAUGAAAAGAGUGUUAUCGAUUGCUCCUUGUCUGUAUCCAUUUUCAAGAAGAUAUGAUGCCAACGUCUCAUACCAAGCCCUGGGAGCUUGCUUCAGUCCAUAAACAACUUUGUCUAGUCGGUACACAUAAUCUGGGUGAUCUUUGUCUACAAAGCCUGGGGGCUGACUGAGAAAUACUUCUUCUUCUAACACACCAUGAAGAAAUGUCGUUUUGACAUCCAUCUGAUAGACAAUGAAAUUCAUGUAGGAUGCAUAUGCGAGAAACAGUCUGAUUGCUUCAAUACGAGCAACUGGAGCAAAAGUCUCCCCGUAGUCAAUAGAUUCAAUUUGAGUAAACCCCUGAGCAACAAGUCUUGCUUUGUUGCGAGUAAUAAUACCAUCUUUAUCAACCUUGUUGCGAUAGACCCAGCGCGUUUCGGUGAUGGUCUUUCCUGAUGGUCUGGGAACAAGAGUCCAAACCUUGUGCCUUUCGAACUCAUUUAGCUCGUCUUGCAUGGAUUUAAUCCAAUCAGCGUCUUGAAGAGCUGAGUGAAUCUUGUCACGUAAGAUCAUUGAAACGAAAUUAACAUACAUGCAAAAAUUAUUAGAUACACGAGAUCUGGUUCGGACACCAUCAUGAAGAUUCCCAAUAAUUAGAUCAAUAGGGUGAUCUCGAUGUUCAUGAGCUGAAACUGAUUCCAGUGAAUUUGACGCUGAAGUGUUAUUACUGAGAGGAACAUCAGUUGGAGGAGACCCUUCAGCUUUAAGGGUUUCAUCAGCAUCUAAAAAAUGAGUUGUUGUGCUGACCACAGUACCUUGAUUUACAAAACUUUGGUCUGGAACAAUGGGAUCAGGAGUAAUAGCUUCUUCUUUAGGGUGAGAAACUUCACCAUAUGGGUAAGAGAGCAGCUCAUGAAAGAUAGAAGAGGAAUGAGCUACCUUUUCAUCAGUGAAUGAUUCUUCAUCAAACUUUACGUGAAUGGAUUCCUCAAUGCACUGCCUGUUCACAUGAAAAACACGAAAAGCUUUUGAAAUAGAUGAGUAUCCAACAAAAAUACCUUUGUCAGCCUUAGGCUCAAAUUUAGAUCUAGGAUCUCGCUGAUUGAGAAUAUAGCAAACGCAUCCAAACACGUGAAAGAAGGAUAUGUCUGGCUUUCGACCUUUCAGCAUCUCAUAUGGUGUCUUCUUGUGAACUUUGUGAAUUAGAGAGCGAUUCUGAGUAUAACAUGCUGUAUUAACAGCUUCAGCCCAAAAGGACAUAGAAAGAACAGCAUGUAUCAUCAAGGUCCUUCCUGCUUCAAUCAGUGUUCGAUUUCUUCGUUCAGCAACUCCAUUUUGUUGAGGAGUACGAGGAGCUGAGAAGUUCUGCCCAAUGCCUUUAAAAUCACAAAAGUCUUCAAGAAUUGAAUUUUGGAACUCAGUGCCAUGAUCACUCCUCAGCUGCUUAACUUUGAGACCAGUCAGUGUCUCAUUUUGACGAAUCAGUGAGAUAAUUUCCUGUGCAGCAUGACCUUUCUUCUUCAAGAAAACCACCCAUGUAAAUCGAGUAAACUCAUCCACAACCACCAGAGUAUACUUAUUUCCUCCUAGGGAACGAACAGGAAUAGGACCAAACAAGUCCAUGUGAAGUAAAUGAAGAGGAAAGAAUAUACUCGAACAUGACUUGGGCUUGAACGAAGACUUUGUUUGAUUUCCUUGCUCACACGCUGAACAUACCUUAUCUUUGACAAAACUGAAAUUUGGAAGACCUCUGACCAGAUCUUGAUUGGAUAUCUUAGACAGAUUUUUAAAAUUCAAAUGUAAGAACCUUUUGUGCCAAAUCCAGCUGAGAUUGGUUUGAGAUUUGGUAAAGAAGCAUUGCAGCAGUCCCUUGUCACUUGAGAACAUGUCGAGAACAUAUAUAUCAUCCUUUCUGCUUGCUGAGAGUACGAUGUUCUUGUCAAUGUUGAUGACUCUACCUUCCUUCUUUGUAAAAGAACCUCAUAAUCAGCAUCACACAAUUGAUCGAUUGAGAUAAGGUUAUGUUUGAGCCCCUUUACAUAUGAAACAUUCUGAAACACCACAUUGUUGCAUUUGAUGUGCCCAUAUCCUUUAGUGAACCCCCUUCCAUUGUCUCUGUAUGUAACUGCAGGACCACUUUUCUUGACAUAGUCUUCCAGGAGAGACUUGGAUCUUGUCAUAUGUCUUGAGCAACCACUGUCUAAGUACCAAAGAUGCUCUUGACCCUGCAGUGCUGAGAAACUAGUUAGAACACACUGACCCAUUGUAAAAUGGGUCAUUCACAAAGUUAUUCGAUAAUAAAUUAUAACAUUCUUUAGGAAGACAGUUUAAAGAAUUUGACUUAAGAGUCCAUUUUUCAUUUCUAACUUUGAUGUUAUCAACUCUUAAAGAUGUUUUAUCAAAUGAGCAUUUACUGAUCUUAUGAGAGGUAUCACCACAUCUGUAACAAACUCUAGUACCAAAGUUCUUCUUGGCGAGCAUAUUUCUAGACUUAACACAAUUAGAUUUGUAAGAUCCACCAAGUGAACUUUGACUCCUUUUGUUUGUCAUUGAAUCAUGACUGAAUUCAGUGUUAGAUAAAUUAUGAUCAGUGAUAGAUGAGGAGCUGGCAUCAAUAUCUGAUUUGGACUUAUUCACUGAAGCAUUACAAUCAGGAAAAUGCUUAAGUUGUUCAUGAACAGCGUGAAAUACCCCAUUUGAGAUAGGGAAGGCAAUAAUAUUCUCAGUGAGAGGAGUUUGGUCUCACAAGAUGUGUAGGGUAAAAGGUAGGAUCAAUUCCGGUAAUUUCAAUAUCACACUCAGUGACACCAUUAGAAUCAGUAACACAAUAUUCAUCAAUUAGACUCUGAUUAAUAAAAGUGUUACUGAUAAACUUGUUUUUGAAAUUAUUUUUCAACUCAUUCAUGGAAUAAAAUUCAGAUUCUUUUUCUUGAGAUUUAAAAACCUUUUCAGCUUCUGCAAAAUUAACCCCAAGAAUUUUUCUCACAAGAGUGUCGUAUUUGAGCAGAAAUAAUAUAAUUAGCAUUUUUGUGAGAUUUAGCCCAAAUUUGUAGCACAGUUUGUUCUUUGUUCAAGAGAUCUUUAACAUUAUCAAUUUCAGUAGACAAAGAUGAGUUUGACAAACUAGUGAUUCUAAGAUUUUCCUGAGUAGAAUAAAUAAUGUUAUUUUUCAUGGAUAAUUCAGUUUUAAGAAGAUCAAUUUGAUUUUGCAAAUCCCUUAUUGUUUGAUUCUUCUUAGAAUUAAGAACACCCAAAUACUCAAACAUUUUGAUUUUUUCAUUCAUUGAAUAGGAAACAAAGUUUUUAACCUGAUACAUUGAAGGAGAAUCAGUGUUGUGCUUCCUGGAAUUUUCAACCGCAUCAGACAUAUCAGCAUCAAAUGUACUUGUGCUGUCUUCACAUUCAUCAGCAUCUUCUGUUUUAGCCAUCAGACAUUUAACUUCAUCAUCUGAUGACUCCUCAUCAGUCUUCCAUUUUUCUUCUUCAGCAACAAGAACUUUAUGUUCCAAGUUCUCUGCUUUCAGCUUUUCAACCAAUUUGUUGUACUUCUGCUUCCAGUAUUCGUCCGAGCUUUGGGUUCUUUGCUUGCAUUCUUUUGCAAAAUGGUCAGUGCUACCACAGUUAAAGCACUGAGCUUUCCCUUUCUUUUCAGUAGCUGGUUUCUUGUCAGCAUCUGACCGUUUGAAGGAUUUCCCUUUCAUCUUCUUCUGAAACUUUGAGAAAUUACGGCCUGAUUUCUCAAAAGUCUUCACAAUGAACGCCGCACUAGCAACAACCUUUUCCAGACUAUCAGUAUCACUUUUAGUAGAAUCAGUGUCUGAAAAGGAUUCAGUGUCUGACUCGGAUUCUUGCCUUUUGGUUGAAAACAGUGCCACUGAUGACUCACGCUGAGCAUCUUUCAUCAGCUCCUUUCUUUGGAGCUUUGAUUCCUCAUAGUAUCGAAGAUUUCCAUAAAGACUUUGUAAAUCCAUUGUGCUGAUUUUCUCACUAUUUUUCAGCACAUCAACAUGAUUUUCCCAACCUGCACCCAAAGAAUCCAAAAACUUCUGCACUAGAACAGUUCGAUGCUUUAACUGAUCUAGUCUUCGCAAAUCAUUAACAAGAGUAUUAAAUCUGUUAAAGGUUUGAGUCAGGGUUUCACCUUUCUUAGCAAAAAAAUGUUCAUACCUUCUGUUUAGAUCAUUUAUCUGGGUAGCAUUGACUUCCUCAAUACCUUCAAAAGACACAGUCAGUGUGUCCAUCAUUUCUUUUGCUGAUAUGCAGUUUUGAACAAGCCCAAAGAUAUUAUAUGGUAAAGCAUAGCUGAUUGCUGCCCGAGCACGAACAUCAAGCCCAUUCUUUCUUUUGUCAUCAGAUGUCCAGUUUUCUUUAGGUGUUUUCUUCAUGACACCAUCAGGAGCAUUGUUUUUCAGAGGCUGAUACAUUGGAACAUAUGGACCAUUAUUGAUAAUGUCCAACAUGUCUUCAUCUACAGAUUCCAAAGCAUACAAAGCUUUGAUUUUCCACAUAGCAAAAUUGUUUUCAUCAAAUUGAGGAAUUUUAGUAGAAGAAUGAUUUGAAGAGUUUAUAGAAGAAGAUGAUGAAGCCAUUUGUUUGAUAAGAGAACACCGCUCUGAUACCAAUUGAACGACCCAAAGAUCAAACAACUUAUCAAACAAUGACAGAAAAUAAGAACAAUAAAGAUUCACAAAGAAAACUUUUCACUAAGAAUGAUAAUCUCACAAAGAGAUUAUCGUAUGUACAAAGCGGCUAUUAGGGUUUGUGAAAACGUACGUCAACACAAACUGAUACAAAAGAUUAUAUACUACUAUUCUAGACAAUCCCUAUAAAUCAGGGAUAUGCCAGCUAACUAAUUUACGCUAACUAAGGAAACAAGAUAAAUACAAAAACUGUUACAACGUGCUGAAUAAAGAUAUAUACUGAUCAACUGAGAUGCUGAUGUUGAUGCUGAUGCUGAGUCAUGCGCUGACGCUGAUAGACUAGUUUCAAACAUCAUCAUAUUUCAAGGUUUGACCUUACAUAGAUGUUCAAGUUCACCCCACAAUAGGCCUCUUAUAAUAGGCUACAACACAUGAUACUAUCUAUAUGGCUACUUCAUAUCUCGAUCUUUGGAUAUAUAGAUACUCAAUCCUGAUCCCUUGCAUUGUCACCUGCUUCAUCAAGGAUCAUCUGGAAUGCUCUUGCCUUUAGCUUUGGUGGUACAUUUGGCCUUGCUGCUUCAUUUUUCUUCGGGCAAUCUUUUGACAUGUGCCCCUUGUCUCUGCAUCUAUAGCAUACCUUAUCAUUAAGCGUACAAUCCAUGGAAUAGUGACCGAUACUCCCACACUUGUGUAACAAGUCACUUUUCCAUACCAUUUCCCAUAGUGCUUCUUUUUACACCUCUCACACCACUUUUCUUCAUUGUUAUCCCCAUGCCUCUUGUUGUUGGGGUCAUACUUUGGGAAUCUAUUUUUCUUGUCAGAUCUUGAAGAUUCCUCAAAUAUCCUCUUCUCGCCAACUUCAACCUUGUUGGUGGUUCUGCCUUUGAUCAUCUCUUCGACAGACUUAUCAACCCAGAUGGCUGCCUCAAGAGUAGGUGACUGGCGUACUGUAUAGUGUACUCCCAUGGUAGUCCCUUUGUAUACUUAUCGAUUUUUGUUAGCUCUUUAGGGACGAUGCGGAAAGCAAACUCCAUCUGGUCCAUGAAGGCAUUGGUAUAUUCCUCAAUGGACAUGUUGCCCUUUCUCAAUGUUAGAAACUAAUUCUCCAGCUCUAGCAUGUUUUGGGAUGAGCAGAACUUACAUUUAAAGUGUACCAAGAAUUCUUCCCAUGUCAAGUGUAGCAGCUAAUUGGUAUAUUCCUCAAUGGACGAUGCGGAAAGCAAACUCCAUCUUGUCCGUGAAGGCAUUGGUAUAUUCCUCAAUGGACAUGUUGCUCUUUCUCAAUGUUAGAAACUAAAUCUCCAGCUCUAGCAUGUUUUGGGCUGAGUAGAACUUACGUUUAAAGUGUACCAAGAAUUCUUUCCAUGUCAACUGUAGCAGCUAAUUGGGGCUGAUGAUCUUUCCCAAAGUGUUCCAUCAACAAACAACCCCACCCCUAAACUGACGCACAACAUAUGUGGUUUGUAGCUUGCCCUUACAACCACAUGUUAUGAAAGCUAGCUCCAUCUCAGAGAUCUAGUCCAUAACUCUAAUUAGGUCUUCUUUCUUAGUGAAUGUUGAUGGUUUGCAAGUUAUGAAGUCUUUAUACUUGCAUCCAUUUCUUUCAAUCCCUUCAUCUUGGUUAUUUCUUCUAACCACUGGCGAUUCAGCUUGGCUUACGGUUUUACUAUAGUUUCCUUCUUCUAACUGUCCCUCAUUCAAUUUAGGUUGCAUAAAUGGCAAAGUAGGUUUAUCGCUAUUAAGCAACAUUUGCCUCAUCUCCUCCCUUUGUUCGGCCAUCAUAGCACAAAUCAUUUCUUGGACUCCUGCCAUCGUGAUUAGCUCGGGUGGAGCUGAUACCUCUAGUGCAUGCUCAAUCACAGACCGCUGAUUAGCAUUAGCCUUCCCAUUAGUGUUUCUGAAUCCGCUUCGUCCCACCAUGUCGAUCUAUACACCAAAUUAGACAUUCGGUGUGUAGUGAUGAGAAUUUGGAUACGAAAGCUUUAUUUACGAUAGACAUAUAAAUCUCCUUAUUACUCCGAAAAGUUACAUGUUAGUUCUAAUACCAUAAUUAAACAUUUAGAAAUAUGAACACAUAAAGUUUCCAGAUCUGAUCGGCAACAGACCAUAGAUCCAAUCAAACAAUGGUAUCAUAAAGCAUACAAGGUAUCUUAUGGCAUAAAUCAUUUAGCACAUAAAAGCAAUUUAGGCAUCUUCCUUAAAUAAUCUAGUGCUUGUGUCUAUGCAGGUGUACUACCUAAAAUAUAUUAGACAUACUCCUCACUAUCAUCGCUUAACAUUCUAAGUUUAAGCCUAGAAAUUUUCUACAAAUUCUUAGUUUGCUUAAACUAAUGCUCUGAUACCGACUGUGACAUCCCCAAUUUUAUGGUCAUUUUAAAAAUUUUAUUUAUGCUUAUUUAAAAAUCAAAGUAUCCAUUUUAAAGGAUAAUAUUGCAGAAUUUGUUCCCAGAAAACAUGAUAAAUAUAUUAUCAAAGCAUGUCCGAAGAAAUGUAUUUUAUUUAUAUUAAAACAUUGGGAUGUCAUCGUCAAUACAGAAACAUAAGCAUAAACAAACCUUACAUUCAUGUACACUAAUGAUUUACAUUUCCUUUAAUCUCUCAGUGUAAUAUGUCUUCGUAUCGAUACAUGCGAUACAAAUAAACUGAGUGGGUCAGGUUCAAAAACUUGGUGAGUACAUAGGGUUUCCAACCCACAAUAAUAUAAUUAUUAUGUUUAAUCAUCAAACAAUUAACCCAACUUCCCAUCGCCAUUAUCUUAUUUAUUCUUAAGGAUCUAUCCUAAGAACCAUCUACUCUUCAUUCAUUCAUUCCUAAGGAUUGUCUUAAGGAAUAGGUACGAAGUCCAUCACUUCCAGGGUUUAUCUAAUAGGCAUUAAGUCCAUUGUUGCCAAUGUUAUUUGUUAGGCACUAAGUCCAUAACUGCCAAUGUUCAUCUAUAGGGCACUAAACCCAUAGGUGUCAACGUUCAUUUAUAAGGCACUAAGUCCAUAGCUUCCAACGUUAUUUGUAAGGCACUAAAUCCAUAGCUGCGGAGGUUUUUAGAGUACAUCUGGUGAACAUGUCGUUCACAACACCUACAGGUUGCGAGCCUGCUAGCGUUCCACUGGACUAUCUAGAAUAGUCUGUGGUUGUCAUCUAUACUUUGCUAGAUGACUGGGCCAUCGCUUGGGUAAAGGCUUCUCAUCAUCUUUCACCUCUCUUCAUCUAUAUCAUCUUUCAUCUCUCAUCUCAUCUUUUAUUUAUCCAUCUUUACCCAAUAUAAGUAUAGGUAUAAAGUAUGUAUAUAGUUUAAAUCGAAUAAAAAAUAUAUCUUUUGUUCAUCCAGCAUAGACAUCAAGAACACAGAUAAUAUGCACACAUAGCAUGUAAUUUAUAUUAAAUACUUCAUAUCUAUGUGUAAGAUGAAAGUAACUGUGCACUCAAGUGUUAAGGUGAUGACUCCAAACUCGGACAACGCUUCGCUUCUAACAAUUUUAUUUUCCUUCGAUGAAACCUAGUAUCAUUACCACUAGAUUUUACUCUAAUAUUUAUUGCGACUAAUUAUUAGUCUAGAUUCACGGGCGAUAUUGUUUUAUAAGUGUUAAACAAUACUUUUCAACUACUAUGUACAGACAGGGACCAUACAUGAAACACCGACCAUUUUGGCAUUUAAGCUGUUCUAAAAUCCAACAACCCUAUACCACCCUUCAAACCGGAUUCCCCGUACCGCGAGCAAAUAUAAUGUAUGAUAAUAACACUUUAUAUUUUAUCAUACUUAGCACAUAUAUUGUUUAUAGGUUCAUAAUAACGAUAAUGAACUUAUACAUAAGCUAUACUUAAAGUAGGGUAAGCGUAACAUACUUAUAAAGGGGUUUGACUAGGAACCGGGCUCUGCGGGGUAGAACUUCUGAGCCGAAAGCUCUUCUUCUCGGAGCCUUCUGGCGCUAUGGGGAUUGCCUUUAGCACUUGGGAAGUAUUAAGGAAGGAAGGGAGAGUUUUGGAGUAUUGAGAGAGAAAGAAGGGAUAUGGUGUGAAGAAAUGGGGUGCUCCUCGCACCUAUUUAUAGGGGGCAGCUUCGGACUAUGCUAGGCGUAGCCUCGGAGUAAGUUGCGCAUACGAGGGGGCAACUAUCAGCUCCACAUGAGAGACCGUUGGGAGAAAGAAAGGGUUUGAAUGGCGCAAUGUGGAGAUAGCUGAGACCACGUAUGCGAGUACACGGGACGUAAUGUCGGCUGCGCGGGGCGUACUCGUGCCACGUGUCACCCUCGCAUCCUCUUAUAAAUUAAUAAACUUCUAAAUUCCAUAACUUUUGCAUACGAGCUUCGUUUUUGACGUACUUUAUAUCCAUAUGUAGGUAUCGAUGGGAUCUACAACUUUCAUUUAGACUAUGUCGACUAAUUUUGACUUUAUAAAGUUAUAUUUUAACAAGCUUAGACAUAUAAAGUCCGUUAAAAUUUCAUAACUUUGUCAUCCAACGUCCGUUUUCAUCUGUCUUUAUAUCUUUGAGUUCCUAUUAAUGAGAUAUUCAAUUCUCAUUUAGAUUGUGUCGGCUAGAAAUCGAUCGAUCUAAAAUUCGAAUUCUGGGUUGUGCACUGCUAUGCUAAAUCUUAGAAAAAUCAUAACUUCCUCAUACGAAGUCAGAUUUGGAUGUUCUUUUUAUGCAAGCUCUCGUUUAAAAUAUACUACUAAUUUCGUUUAGAUCGCUAAGGUUGAAAAGUAAUUUAUCAAAAAUCCACUUUUUACCUUACGCGGUGUUGUUCCGAUUUAGCUGUAAAACUUCGACGAGUCAUAACUUCUUCGUUAUAACUCGGAUUUCAGCGUUCUUUAUAUGUAUGGAAUACUUGUGACAUAUACUAUAACUAGGUUAAGAUUAUUUACUAUAAAUGAUCUUCUAUUAAAAAGUCAUUUUUGAUGCUUAUUGUGUGUCUGAAUUGACUAGCCCGAAUCUUCAGAUGUUACAGUUUUCUUCUCUGGUCUGCCCACAUCUAGUUCUCUCUCUCUCUCUCUCUCUCUCUCUCUCUCUCUGCUCAAGUGUUCUUCUUCUUCCUCAUGAUCACACCACAAAACCACCGGCACAUCCAUGAAAAACUUUUGUGAAUCUCAAGCACCACCGCCACUAAAGUUGUAACACCACCACUAAUUCGACACUACCUUGAAGGAAAACAAAAUAUUAGGAGAUAUCAGUCCCUGUAUGGAAGAAAAAAUAUAUAAAAUCUCGAACCCCGGUGCUAGUUCCUUGAAAACAUCCAUCUUGAAGCAAGAAAUUAGUUUAGAAAGUGAUAAUAAGAACAUAAGGAUAAGCAAUUUCAACAACCAUCCACCACGUUUAGCCCUACAAACUCAGUUUCCAAAUAGAUUUGAGAAUUGUGAUAUGAAAUUAAUGCUAAUUGAUUCCAUUGUUCUGAGUUUCGAUGAAGUUACUUGAGAACAUAGUAAUAAGUCCAUAAUAAAUGUGUCGGCUAAAGUCCGAUGGCCACCAACAAAUUUCCGACCACCUUUAUCACCACCACAAUUGGGUCAACAAUCACCCUUGUAAUUCUAAAGAUUUAAUUGCAAUGUACAGAGUUUCUUCUUUGUCGGUGUGAAUUUAAGAACUGGGUUUGUUAAGAACUAUAAAAACUCGAGCAUGUAUCGGAUUUUCUUCUCUUCGUGUUGUUCUGGGGUAUGCGAUUAAGAGUUAGGGUUUAUCAAGAAAUCUUGAUUAGAACACACACACAUAUAUAUNGAAUCAAAAGGGGAGGGGGAUUUCGUUUGUGUAAUUUAGUUAUAAGGGUUAGUUUGAAGAGAGAGAGAAGUGGAGCACAACCAUGGCCGUUUUUUUGCAUGAGUAAGAAGGGGAUGAAUAUUUCGGGGAUGGUUUCAGUAAGAGAGAGAGAGAGAGAGAGAGAGAGAGAGAGAGAGAGAGAGAGAGAGAGAGAGAGAGAGAGAGACCUCUUUUUUAGAUUAAUAAAAUAAAAAAAGGAUUUGAUUUACAAAAAAAUGAAAGAAAAAUGAAAAUUAAAAACCCUAAAGGUAUUAUAGUCAUUUCAAUAUUUGGAGGGACUAAAUACACAAUCAAAUUAGCUUAAAAGGACCACCAAUCCAAAAAAAAUUGAGGUUUGUACUAAACCUCACAAAAAUGUAUACCACAAGGACCAUUUUCGCAAUUUUCUCUAUUUUUUAUGAUUUAUAUUUUUUGAAGUUUUGUUGCAAUAUAUUGUUUAAUGGUUGUUUUACAAUUUUGUACACUUACAUUUUUUUGAUGUUUUAUUUGAAUAUAUUUUUUUAAUAGCUUCUUAACAAUUUUUUUUUAUUUGCUAAUGAUUUCUUGACCCUUAUAAUAGUAAUUCNAUAUAUAUAUAUAUAUAUAUAUAUAUAUAUAUAUAUAUAUACACUAUAAAAUCCAAUCGAACAAAAGAAAAUUACCGCCACUGUGAUCCAUAGAUGAAUCGACGUCCUAAUCACUUGACGUCGUGCCUAGAAAGUUGGUACCAUGGAUCUAUUGACAAUCAAUUUCAAAGAAUUGAUUUUGGAGAACUCGAUUCCUGGCCAACUAUGCAUUUGUGAUCCACAGACAAAUUGAUUUUUACCCAAUUAAUGAUGAACUAAUGAUGUUUGAUGGAUUUGGAGGGAGGUUGGAAGGAGACAAUGAGGAAGAAUGUGAGUGAUGAGGUGAUGUAACGAUAAAAGGAAGGAAGAAUAGAUAUUGUUCAAUGUUAUGUUGAUGGUCGAAGAUAAGGUGGGUCACUAGAAGGCGGAGGGAGAUGGUCGUUGGAGGAGUUAGAGAGGUGGCAGAUUGAGAGAGGAAGAAUAGAUAUUGUUCAAUGUUAUGUUGAUGAACUAAUGACUUUUAUUCUUUUUUAUUUGGGCAAAUUGCAAAAAAAAAGUCACUAUAUUACCACAAAAUUUCGAUUUUGAUACUGAGUUAUUUUUUUCGCAAUUAUGUCAUUAUAUUUACAAUUUUGUUUCAAUAUCAACCAAAUGACCAGUUCUUCCUAUUCUCCCGGUAAACACUUUUUCCGAAUUGCAAUAAAGUCACUAAGUUUACCAAAUUUUUGAUUUUGACACCGAGUUUAAAUUUGCAAGAAAGUCACUAUAUUACCACAAAAUUUUGAUUUUGACAUCGAGUUUUUUUCUCAAUUAUAUCAUUACAUUUACAUUUUUGUUGCAUUUUCAACCAAUUGUCCAGUUCAUAAGAUGUUAUUGUGGUUUAGAAGCUCAAUUUAAAAGGUCGAUUUGUACAACAAAUAAAUGAAGGUCGGUCCAAUGGUUCAAACUCACUUACAAGUCAGUGAAAAUAGUAUAAUCACACUUUUAGGAGAUGUUAUUAUGGUUUAGAAGCUCGAUUUAUACAACAAAGAAAUCAAUACCCCUACAAGUCUGAUUUGGUGGUUCUAACUUUAAGCAUCACAUGGAUCGACAUUGUAGGGGUCUUCAUUUACUUGUUGUACAAAUCGAACUCUUAAACCGCAAUAACAUCUCUUGAAUGGGUGAGUAUGCAAUUUUCAUUGACUUUUAAGUGAGUUUGAACCACUAGAUUAAUCUUUAGAUGCCAUAAGUAAAGAAAUACUCUUAUAGAAAUUAAACAUAAAACAUUAUAAUAAAAAGUUUCACCUUUUAUAAAAUCAAUCAUUUUUAUAAGAAAUUCACAACACACACACACACACACACACACACACACACAUAUAUAUAUAUAUAUAUAUAUAUAUAUANNNNNNNNNNNNNNNNNNNNNNNNNNNNNNNNNNNNNNNNNNNNNNNNNNNNNNNNNNNNNNNNNNNNNNNNNNNNNNNNNNNNNNNNNNNNNNNNNNNNNNNNNNNNNNNNNNNNNNNNNNNNNNNNNNNNNNNNNNNNNNNNNNNNNNNNNNNNNNNNNNNNNNNNNNNNNNNNNNNNNNNNNNNNNNNNNNNNNNNNNNNNNNNNNNNNNNNNNNNNNNNNNNNNNNNNNNNNNNNNNNNNNNNNNNNNNNNNNNNNNNNNNNNNNNNNNNNNNNNNNNNNNNNNNNNNNNNNNNNNNNNNNNNNNNNNNNNNNNNNNNNNNNNNNNNNNNNNNNNNNNNNNNNNNNNNNNNNNNNNNNNNNNNNNNNNNNNNNNNNNNNNNNNNNNNNNNNNNNNNNNNNNNNNNNNNNNNNNNNNNNNNNNNNNNNNNNNNNNNNNNNNNNNNNNNNNNNNNNNNNNNNNNNNNNNNNNNNNNNNNNNNNNNNNNNNNNNNNNNNNNNNNNNNNNNNNNNNNNNNNNNNNNNNNNNNNNNNNNNNNNNNNNNNNNNNNNNNNNNNNNNNNNNNNNNNNNNNNNNNNNNNNNNNNNNNNNNNNNNNNNNNNNNNNUAUAUAUAUAUAUAUAUAUAUUGAGAGAAAACUUUGAAGAAACACACUUGAACAAAUGUUAGAACAAGUUAUAUAAUGCGGAAUAAAGUUUAACUCAUAGGAUCAUAAAGCUCAACAAUAAUAAGAAGUUAGAGUUGUUAGAUAGUUAGAUGAUUAGAUGUGGAAAUGUAAUGACGAAAAUGUAAGGAAAUAUAAAUGACAACAAGAUAUAUAUCAAGUAAACACUAAACUGAUUCUUAACAAGAUUUUCAAUCAAACACAAGUUAGUAGAUGUGAUCAGUUUAAGUGAUUGAAGUCACAAAGACUUGGUCCGAAGGAGAGUUUGAGAGUUAGAUCUUGAAUAUAUGAUUAUAAGUUCAGAAAGAUCUUGAGGAUAUGAGCGAAUUCUGGUAGUAAGUAAUGAAAGAAGAAAUGUGAGAUAAGAGAUGUAAGAUAUAUUUCAUUUGAAAUGGAGAACUCUAUUUAUAGAGUUCCGAGAACAUACAAAGAGAAAUAAAUAAGACUAUAAUUCAGAAGAAGUGUCCAUGCAAGGCACACUGGACAAUACAUAGGACAAAAAAAAAACUAAGACUUUGUUCCAUAUGAGAUAGUUGUGGAUGGCUUCAACUCUUCGCAUUGCGGUAGCAAAACAUCAUUUCGGUAGUGAGGAGGACUUCAUAUUGAGGUUCAAGAGGGUCACUUUCUUGAUUCAAUAAUAUAUAUAUAUAUAUAUAUAUAUAUAUAUAUANNNNNNNNNNNNNNNNNNNNNNNNNNGUCAUAUAUAGAUAUCUUAUUUUAUAUAAAACUAUCUUUUAUCUACAUUGUAACUAGUUUAUUAAGAUAUGAAUAUAUAAAUAUCUUAUUUUAUAUAAAACUACAUUUUAUAUAAAUUGAACUAGCUUAUUAAGAUAUAAAUAUAACUUAUAAAUAAUCAUACUUUGUGAUAUAUUUCAUAAGUUGUUAUUUCUCCAAUAAAUAUUAUUUCCACAAAUAAUAAAUUCUCAAUUAAUAAAAUAUUAUUUCCGUAAAAUAAUAAUUUUCCAAUUAAACACAAGUGUUGAUAUAUUUAUUAAUAAUCAAAUUAUACUAAUAAAUAAUCAAUUGACGAUAUCUUUCUAUAUGGUAUGACCCUAUAGGAUCAUAUAUUAUUAACAAUAUCAUUCUAUAAUGACUCUUGGGCAUACUAGAUCUUUCAAUCUCCCACUUGCGUAAGACUCAUCAUAGAUUGAUAUAGAUAGUGGUGAACGUCUAGCAUCAUUUCAUUGCCCAGAAUAAUAUAUGAUGAAAAAUGCCAUUCAUCAACAUCUAAUUCACAAAAGCUCUAAGCUUCAAUUGAUGUAUUAAGGUAAGUUUACCAAUUAUCCCUUUAUUACAGACAUCCUGUUGAACAUGAGCCUUGGAUCGCAAUCAAUCUCACUUGUAAUUCAACUUUGGGUAACGCACAUUCGAUGUCUAACUCUCAACACAUAAGAGGAACAAAUCCCAUCUUGACUACAUAAGCCUCUUGCAUAGUUCACAUCAUACCCAAAUAUGACUUUUAUAACUGCCCGGUCAAGGAACAACAUUUGGUCAUAUCAAAGCGCAACACUCCCUACACGUAAGUCCCACUAUGUGUUUAGGUUUUAAGGACACAAAGAUAGUACCUUUUAAUCAAGUAUCACUCAUAACUGUGAUCUAUGAGAUGAUCUUGAUGUGGGUCCGUUCAAUACAAGUUCUCUGACAAGUACCUAUGAAACUUAGUUACAACUUCUUGCCUACUUUCAUCUGGUAAGAGUCAACCAAUCCAUUUCAUAUUAGUCUUCAUAAUUGCUCCCACAAUUAUGAUCGACUAUGAACAUUUAGAAUAAUAAUAUGAUUCAUGGAUUAAACAUGUUAAUAUACUACACAACAAGUAUUAAUGUAACGAUCAUAUCCCAGUAUAUCAAAAAAUUAUUUAAUAGUUAUUAUUACAAUGUUCCAAUAUCCAAAUACUAGAAUAAUAAAAAUCUUAUGGAUGAAGUGUGACCACUCAUACUCAGCUUAAAAGAAAAGUCUUUAUUAACGGGUUCAACUAAAUUUAAUUUGUGUGAAUUUUGCGAAUACUACAUCUCCAUAUUUGAACUUUACUCUAGGUAUAGUUAAAUAUCUGGGAGAAUAUGAUAUGUGUUCUUUCGUGACAUAGAGUCUCUUAGCUUGAUUAAGUGAACUCUCGAAGUCACAAAGAUUUCUAUGUGAUCCUUUAAUGGUAGAAAUCAACAUAGUUUUUCAAUGAACUCAUUCAUCCAAUCGUAUUUGACUUUAACUUCUGAAAAGUAGUGUUUUCUUAUUUAGUAGAUUGUGUUAUAUUUUUUUGCUUGGACCUAAUUCCAACUAAACUUACUCUUCAUUCCAUAAUGAAUUCAUAACCCAAUUAUAAUUCAUAAUUAUCUCUAUUUAUUUAGGAAUCAAAAUCCUAUGUAGCUCUUUAUAUUAAGAUUUUAUUCUAAACUAAUUAUCUCAUAUACAUUCUCUUAGCUCUUCUUAAGUGCUUUUAGAAUGUUCUCAAAGUCAUAUAGUGACUUAACCAUGUAUUUAGUUUUGUAUCUCAUGAUAUGACAUAAAUGAUGGAUUCAUUUGACAAUCAAAUAGAAUAUAGAUCAUUUUAUCUAGCUCAAACCUAUGUGCUAGAUCUAUUUGAGACAAGCUCAAAAAUAGUGUCAUGUGACAAUGUCAAGAAUCUUCCAAAGGAAUCUUGUAUCUUGAUCUCUUUCAAGAUAUUGUCAUUUCAAAAAGAAUUUUAAAACCCUUAACAUUCAUAUUUAUUUAUCUCUUAUAGAUUUUACAUUCAAAGAAUGUAUCUUUUCAUUCCUAAGUCUUUCAUUUUAGAAAUACUUUCCGAGUCAAGGUGAAAACCACCUUGCAUAGUCGGAAUGUCAUGUCAAAUGAUUAAGUAUGUCUCUUUCAUACAAGAUUAGGAAUAUCACUAUCCUCCCACUAGUUCUUAGUAAACACACACACACGUUCUUUUUCAUUUUGAUAUUAAAGCAUACCUGUUAUUGUUGAAACAUGAAGUGACCCUUUAACUUAGUCUAUCACAGCCCACAAGGAUCCGCAGUCAAGCUCUCAUCAGCAGCCUCAUCUGAAGUCAUUUAUCCAACCGCAAUCUUACUUACUUUACUUAGUUUAAUUUUAUCUAUCUUUUCAGUAAUACUCUCUGUUGUCCAGUAUGUCUUGCAUGGCUACUCUUAGAGAGUGGAUCAAAUGUAAUUAUUGAUUCUCUAUAUAUAGAGCUCAUUCUUUCACAGUUUAUAAUUGAAUCUUUCACAUCUAUCAGUCUGAACUAUCUUCAAGUAUAUCAAUUAAAUUUCUCUUACACAUCUCAUAUAUUUCUUACUCUCUAAAUCCUCUCGAACCUAAAUGAUAAUUACUUCUCUUCGGAGCAAGUCAUUCUUGACUUUAUCACUAAGCUUGAUCUCACUCACUAACUUGAUCUGAAUGCAUUCCAUGUUAUGAAUUAACUUAUGUGUUUACUUGAUAUAUCACCUGCUGUCAUUUAUGCUUCCUUACAUUUCCGCAACUAACAAUCUAACUAUCUAACUCGUUAACUUAUUAUUGUUGAGCUUUUAGAUCCUUUGAGAUUAACUAAUUCCGUAACUUUACUUGUUCUAACGUUUGUUCAAGUGUGUCUCAAGUUUUUCUGUCAACAAUUGGUAUCAGAGCCAUAGUGGUUGCUUUUUGAAAAACAAAACUCUGAUUUUCAAAGGGCCAUCUAUACCACUGAAGCUCAUUUCUUAAAACAAAAAAAACAAAAAACAAGGAAGAAUGGCACAAACACUUUCUCUGAAUGUUUCCAACAGUGUUGGUGGUUCAAAUAAAGCUCCAAUAUUGGUGGCAAAUGAAUACCAUCACUGGUCUCAAAGAAUGGAAAGAUACUUAAGGAGACUUGGUAGAGAUGUAUGGCGAUCUGUUGAAGAAGGACCACAUGUCCCUAUUCUUACACCUGUUCAAACUGAUGGCGCCAUAGCCAGACUAAGAGGAGGAAAACUAGUCAUGAAUCAUCCCACCAAAGAUGAUCUUAAUAAAAUGGAAAAUGAUGUUGCUUUUUAAUGAAAUAUAUUGUGGAGUUGCUCCUGACAACUUCGACAUUAUCAUAAACUUUAAAUCAGCAAAAGAGAUCUGGGAUGUUCUCAAGAACUUGUAUGAAGGCUCAGAACAAGCUCAAGAUAAGAAGCUUACAACUGCACUCAAUGAAUUCAACAGCUUCAAAACUCAUACUGGCGAAAGUUUAGAAGACUCUUUUAAAAGGUUCAACCUGAUAGUCACUAAGUUAUCAAAUGUUGGCACCAUCCGUAGUAACCAUGAAACAAACCUUCAAUUUCUCAACGGUUUGGGAAGACAUUUGACUACUGCUAAAAUGAUAGUUCAAGGAGAUAGAAAGAUUCAUUCCCUGUCUCUCUACAAGCUCUAUGGGGAACUGCAAGCACAAGAAUCCACUGUAAUCAAAGACUGUGCUGAAUUCGGAGGACCACUUGCUCUUGUAAAACAAGCUCCUCAUAAUCAAUCUUACUCUCCCUCGUAUGACACUACACCAUAGUCAUACGAAGCUGACUCAGAGUAUGAUGAUGAAGAAGAAUUUCAGAAGGCUAUUGCUCUUGUUAGUAAACAGUUCAACUGGCUGCCACCUCCCUCCUUUUGCAAGAAUCAACAAUUCAACAAACCUCCUUUCAACCGUAACUUCAACCCACAAAACAAUCACUCUCAUUAUCCUAAAAGCUCUCACCCACCACCUCAAUCUCAAAACACUCAACCAAAGGAGGCACCGCAGUCCAUUCAAACCUCUGUCUCCAGUACUCCUUUAGAAGACAAAAGUGAUGUUGUAAUAUGUCACAAGUGCAACAAAGAGAAUCAUUUUGCAAAGGAUUGCAAAGCUAAUGUAGUGAAAGACAGAGCAUUCUGCCUUAGAAUGGCUCAAGAAUUGGAGGAAGAGGAAAAGGCUAGGGCAUAUGUGGCCCAUGUCAAAAGAGACCAUCAAGUUUGGUCAUCUGGAGAUGAAGAAGAAAUCAUCAGCAAUAUCAAAGGAAAAGGCACGAUCUGCAUGCUAGCAACUGCUGAUGAUGAUGGGUCUACAAAUCUGGAAAGGAACUACUGCUACAUGGCAAAGGAUGGAGCUCUAAGCAUCGUCGAACAGGUAAAACUCAUGAUCGAAACUCUAAACUAUGACAUGCAUGACUGUCAACCUUUCAUAGACAAUCUUAAUGACACAUGUGUUGCCGUCCUUACAGACUACAACAAAGCCUUAGAUGAGAAGAACAUAGCGUCCCAAGAGAUGUUUCAUGUGAGAGGACGACUGGACAACAAAAGACUCAAAAUGGCCAUGUUAGAAAUAGAUUUAGAGUUAGAAAAAGAUGCAAGAAUGUUGAGUGAAACAAAACUAGAGAUAGCUUUGAACCAAAGAGAUUUAGCUCAGAGUGAGAUUAUACGCUUAAAUAUAUUAAUAGAAAAAUUGUUCAAUGAAAGUGAAGCUAUUGAAAAUUUGGUUAAUAAUGGAACUGUGGACAAUACAUACAAUUGGGGUUGGUCCAAUGGAUAUCCUACCGCAGGGGAUUCCUCACUCCGGUUUAACAAAGAUCGACUUUAUGACCCUCCGGACCGAGAAUUUCAUUUUCUAGUCAAUGACAAGACUUUUCCCGAAGAUAUCAGAACCCACUUCGGUAGACUUCAUAAUCUAAGUAAUAAUUAUGUCAUUGAGGAAAUUGUUCAUGAGGUUUUGGAUCACACAUGUGAUCAAACUCCUAUAUGUGGCACAAUCAACCCAAAUUCUCAGACCUCAUCUGUUGUUGAUGAAGAAAUUGUCAUAGAAAGUCCCAAAGUCUUACAAGACUUUCCACCUUUGUCCUCAAACUACAGUGCCUCUCACUGCAGUCAUGAUCCUUAGAAAAGUCCCACUGAAGUCAUGACUCAGACUUAUGCUACGGUAGCUAAGUCUUCCUUACCACAGCCACGAUUAAAAGCUUUGUGACUCUUCAACCAAUUCACCAUGAACUACCCAUAGAAAACUUUGAAGUAGGUCAAUGCUCUAAAAACCCUGAAUCUUCAAGUUCUGAUGAAUCAAGCCCUUGUUGUCAAAAAAUUUCAAAGGUUUCCAGGAAACCGCAGUUGAACACUAAUGACUGUGGUUCUCCAAAAAAAAAGGCUUUCAAAGAGGAUAUUCGAUCCCAAGGCACAAAUCGACAAACCUUUUCUAAAAAUAAAAGACAUAUCAGAUUUCCAAAAUCUAAGAGUCCAUAAGAGUUUGUUUUUUCUCACUAUUUUUCAAAAAACUCUCCCAUCAAGAAAACAUGCAAAAAGGAAUGUGCAAUUUCAACAUCCAUUCCUAACUCAUUUGACAAAACCCAAAAGAAAGAAAGGUCUUUUCGAAGCAAUGGUUUGCAAAUAUAUUCCUCAGAUGAUCCAAAAUGGAAGGGUAUCUUACCCACUCCAACACUUUUAAAAUCACAUCAAAAUUUCAACAAGUGGAAGGGCAUUUUACCUAAUCCUAGAAAAAGGUCCUAGGUACCUACACGUGCUAAAUGUUCUUCGAAACAAACUAUUUCAAAUUCCAACAUCACACAUGUAAAAUCUUACCAACCUCGGACCAGUCACAAAUCUACCACAUCCUUCCGACCGCUGACCAAACAAUGUGCCAAAACAAAAGACAAAAUUUCAGCUUGUCCAUGUCAAUGUAGUUGUCAGAAAAGGUUAUCUCAUGUCAAAACUGAUCCUUUUCAGAAACCUCGUAACUUUUCAAAAAGGCACAACACUCCAAAAACUCACAAACACCCAUGACUAGGAUUAAAAGUUGACCCGAAACCAGUCCCUGCAACCUUGUUUCAUGCAUCAAUCAAAAACUCAUAUGUUGUCCCAGGCUCCAAACUAGUUUGGAUGCCUAAACUUGAUGGGUUUGAGCCAUAAGAACUUUCCUAUGUGCACACGCAAACCCUAAUUGCUUGGAUCUAGGUUUCUCUAAUUGAACAUGCAUUGUAUCCAAGACUUUCAAUAGAAGAUCUAAUGUAAACAAUUGAUUCUAAUCAUAUGAAUUAGGAUCUAGAACAAUACCUUGGAUUACUUGCUUGAUACUUCUUCUUCUUGGAGCUUAGAGUCACAAUUGUCACUCCUCUAAUGGUUUACAAACACCAACUAGCAAGAAGAUGAUUUGAGAGAUGGAGAGAGAUGAGAAAUCGGCUCUAGGGUUUCCUCAAAGAUAGAGUGGCCGAUUUCUCCAACCCUAAGGGUCUAUUUAUACUAUGAGCUCCUAGGGUUUCACCUUAAACCCUAAUUGGAUAACUUAGCCUCAAAGCAAUCCAAAGAUCCUUCUAGAUAAGGCCUUGGAUGAUUUUUUUAAGAUAUCCAUAUCCUUAAAAUUGUCCCUUCCCAUAUCCAUAAGGAUUCAUAGCCCUAAACACAACCAUCACACAUUUGACAGUUUAUGCCCCCUUUAUUCAAUUAAUCUCUUUAAGUCACCAAAUUAAUUCUCAAUUAAUAUAUGACCUAUAUUAAUCAAAUAACAUUAUUAUUCCUUUAAUAUAUUAUUCUCAUUAUAUAUUAACAAUAAUAUCUCUUCUCUCUUAACAAAUCAUCCUGUCAAGUUGCUAUGAUGAAGGCAACCCAAAAGGACCAUGCACAACCGGGUCAAAUACUUACCAAAUAUAGUUACAGCCUUAGACACUAAUCCAACAAAACUAACCGUGUAAUUUCCAGGCCUUGUGCAAGGAGGAACAAGAAUAACAAUGGUUAAUCGACAGUGCCUGCUCCUUGCAGAUGACAGGAAGGUUAUAAUACCUUCGAGAUUUCAGGCCAAUUUGCAACGAUGGAAAUGUCACAUUCGGGAACAAUGCGAAUGGGAUAAUCCAAGGUUAUGGUGCUCUUACUACGGGAAACUUCUAUAUUCAAAAGUUUGCUUAUGUAGAAGGCCUUAAACACAAUCUCAUCAGUUUUGGUCAACUAUGUAAAGCAGGCCAUCGUGUUGAAUUUGAUGACCAAUUUUGCUAUGUAACGACAAGCGAUAGGAGCACUUGUCUGAUCAAGUCCAGAUCCGAAGGUACUAUGUAUCCUCUGGAUGUAUCUCUGAUCAUAGGCAAACCGAAGUUAUGCUUCCUAUCCAAAGCAGUAUCUGAAGUCAGCUGGCUAUGGCACCGCAAGCUCGUUCAUCUCAACUUUAGAUACAUCAACAAUUUGGUCACCGGAGAACUAGUCAGAGGUCUUCCAAUCCUCAAGUUCGGCAAUGAUACUCUCUGUCCUCCAUGUGAGUCUGGAAAAAAAUUCAAGGCAAGUCACCCCACAGUGAUUGAUUCCUCAGUUUCUGAACCAUUGGAACUCUUACACAUUGAUCUCUGCGGUCCAUCUACCGUAGCUAGUCUUCACCACAAAAAAUACAUACUAGUUAUAGUGGAUGAAUUCACACGUUUCACAUGGGUCUUUUUUUUUCGACUCAAGUCAGAAACACCGCAGGUGUUGAUCAACUUCAUCAAGGAAAUUGAACUUCAUAUCAAGUUACCAGUUAGACGUAUCCGAAGUGAUAAUGGAACUGAGUUUACUAACCAUCUCCUAAAUAGUUUCUUGGUUUCCAAAGGGAUUCCUCGCAACUUCUCAGCUCCCUACACGCCACAACAAAAUGGGGUAAUAGAACGAAGGAACCGCACUCUAGUAGAAGCUGCCAGAUUUAUGCUCAACUUUGCACAUCUUCCUCUCUACUUCUGGGCCGAAGCAGUGGCCAUAGCCUUUUUUGUACAAAAUCGAAGCAUUGUGUGCAAACAUCUCAACAAAACACCAUAUGAGGGCCUUAACAACCGCAAGCCAAAUGUCUGAUUCUUUCAUAUAUUUGGGUGUAGAUGCUUUGUAAUCAACAACAGAGAUUACCUCAACAAAUUCGCACCAAAGUCUAAUGAAGGCAUCUUCCUUAGCUACUCCAUUAACAAGGUUGCUUAUCGAGUUCUCAUUAGACGCACAAGGUUGAUAAUUGAAUGCUUCGAUGUGAAAUUUGAUGACUAUCACAUCCGCAACACCGCUCCAUCAACCAAAACCACAACAAUUAUAGAAAGUGAUAUUCCUACCUCUUCGAGUCCAUUAAAUCUAGUUGAAGUAAACUAUGACGAUCUCUUCGAUCCGGUAGAUACAACCAAUUUAUCUGAAGUUCUUGUGUCUCUAGAAGCUCAGCAACAUCAUGCUGAUGUAUCUGGUCCAACAUUGUCCGAAGAAGUAUUACUAAAUACUUCCACCUCGCCGGUUGAGGGGGAAAACUCAACUCCGGACCAUACAACAACCAUCGAGGUUCCAGUACUAGAAGAUGAAGCUCCAAUCCGCGGAGAGUUUCAACCAUCAAACGUUUCUUCGGAUUCGAAUGAUGAAAACAUAGAAAACAUUGACACAAGAACAUAUUCAAGGAUUAUCACACUCCCAUCCGUAAUCCAGGGGGAACCUUCGCAGGUUCAAGGCGAACUCCCUUCUACACUCCAGGGGAACCUUCGCCAUCUUCCCAAGAAAACUCUGAUCCCUCCUUCCCUGUUCAAGACAAUUUAGCAGGAUGUUCUCAAGUCCAGGGGGAACUGCCGUCUCCAACCGCAUAGUCUUCUAAUAUUGAAGACAUUCCCUCCACCGCAGCUGCUGAUCAUCUGCAACCCCAUCUGCACGUAUGGACGAGAGACCACCCACUAGGUCAAAUCAUCGGCAACCCAUCCGCAGGAAUCCAGACUCGAUCAUCCAAGGACUUAUCCGAUCACUGUCACUAUGCAACGUUUCUGUCCUCGGUCGAACCUCGGACAAUCAAAGAAGCAUUACUUGAACCAGAUUAGAUAUCCGCAAUGCAAGAAGAGCUAGAAGAAUUCAAAGGGAACAAGGUAUGGCAGCUCGUUCCAAAACCGCAAGGCCACACCAUUGUUGGCACUAGAUGGGUGUACAAGAAUAAGUUGGAUGAAUCUGGUUCGGUCAUCAGAAACAAGGCAAGACUAGUUGCUAAAGGAUAUAGUCAACUUGAAGGCAUUGACUAUGAUGAAACGUAUGCAUCGGUAGCACGAAUGGAAGCCAUUCGGAUCUUCUUAGAAUACGCAUCGCACAAGAACAUCAAGGUUCAUCAAAUGGAUGUGAAAAGUGCUUUUCUCAAUGGUGAAUUAAAAGAGGAAGUUUAUCUUAAGCAACCACCGGGUUUUGAAAGUCUUGAAUUCCCAUACCACUGCUACAAGCUUGAAAAAGCAGUCUACGGUCUAAAACAAGCCCUAAGAGCAUGGUACGAGACUCUCUCUGAAUUUCUUGUCUCAUCCGGAUACAAACAAGGAGUGAUUGAUCCCACUUUAUUUAGAAAAGCAAAUGGUGACCAUCUAAUGCUUAUACAAAUAUAUGUGGAUGAUAUCAUCUUCAGAUCGACUGAUCAAGGAAUGGUGGAUGAAUUUGCUAAGCUCAUGACCAACAAGUUCCAAAUGAGCAUGAAUAGAUAGAUUAACUUCUUUCUAGGACUUCAAGUGAAACAAGUCCCUCAAGGGAUAUUCAUUCAUCAAGAGAAAUACACCUCAGAACUGUUAAAGAAAUAUUCAAUGGACAAGUGUUCUUCGGCUAAGGUCCCCCUGGCCUUCGGAUAUAAGAUAUCUGCUGAUCCCUCAUGCGAAUCUGUUGAUCACAAGACCUAUAGAGGUAUUAUUGGCUCAUUGAUGUACCUCACCGCAAGCCUACCAGAUAUAGUCUUUGCAAUGGGUGUAUGCGCAAGGUACCAGGCUGACCCAAAAAUGUCACACAUGACCGCAGCCAAG